Molecule: long non-coding RNA, 611 nt
Organism: Anguilla rostrata (American eel)
Lineage: Eukaryota; Metazoa; Chordata; Actinopteri; Anguilliformes; Anguillidae
Exons: 2
Source: RefSeq, a predicted model, not a curated record
AUAGGUUAGAACCAUCGAUUGCCGAUGGCCUAAUUGUAUUUGAAUUUUUAACAAUAGGAUAAUGAAUUAGACAAAGAAAUAAUAAGGAUCCCAUUGUCGCAAAUUUACAGGCUAUGUAUUUAAACAAUUAUGCUACAAUGCUUUCACUUUGGCGCAACAGCUCACAUUUUGAAACAGCAAUUGUGAAAUCCAUGAACAAGUCGUAGCUAUUGAAAAACAUUAUCCUAAGUGCCUACGUAUAAUGAGGUAAUGCCUUUUGCUGUCCCUCGAGAACACUGGGUCAUUACAGAAAUGUUCUCACCUGCACGUCUCUAGCAGGGUAGCAUUUAUAUCGCCAUGGUAACGACGGAACCCGAAGCCCAGCGGGUUUUCAGUAACACGUCAUCACGUUGGACUAGUUACCCCAUUCUCAAAUGCUGCGGGGUGACAUGAAGGUUCUCAAUGCCAAACAAGGUUAAUAAUCACCGACCACCUGAUUUCCAGUCAAGGAUUACCUCCUGCAUCUAAGCUGCUAAGGAAAUUGGCACACUAUACAAAGGAGAGUAAACACAUCACAUUCACUAUGGACGGAUAAUGUGUCAAAAAAAACCAACAAAAAAAAACAACAACAA